Molecule: small RNA, 87 nt
Filed under: Providencia alcalifaciens
Lineage: Bacteria; Pseudomonadati; Pseudomonadota; Gammaproteobacteria; Enterobacterales; Morganellaceae
Description: partial RtT sRNA
Rfam family: RtT RNA
About the family: This family represents a bacterial cis-regulatory element known as RtT RNA.
Source: RNAcentral
GAGCCGAGCGAAGCGAGACAGCGUUGCGCUUGCCGCAACGACCCGAAGGGCGAGGGCAAAGCCUGAGUCAUCCUGCACGACCCACCA